Non-coding RNA from Marinactinospora thermotolerans DSM 45154, 1683 nucleotides. The record is from Rfam. Lineage: Bacteria; Bacillati; Actinomycetota; Actinomycetes; Streptosporangiales; Nocardiopsidaceae.
GGCCAAGUUAGUGUGGCACACGGUGGAUGCCUUGGCAUCAGGCGCCGAUGAAGGACGUGGGAGGCCGCGAUAGUCCACGGGGAGUUGUCAACCGAGCUGUGAUCCGUGGGUGUCCGAAUGGGGGAACCUAGCCCGAGUCAUUUCGGGUUGCCGCUGUCUGAAUGUAUAGGGCAGUUGGUGGUGACGCGGGGAAGUGAAACAUCUCAGUACCCGCAGGAAGAGAAAACAAGAGUGAUUCCCUGAGUAGUGGUGAGCGAAAGGGGAUGUGGCUAAACCGUGCGCGUGUGAUAGACGGCAGUUGUUGCGUGUGCGGGGUUGUGGGGCGCGUUUUUCUCAGGUCUGCCGGCCUGGGGCGUUUUUGGUCGAUGGUAGCUGAAGUCGUUGGGAAGCGGCACCGGAGUGGGUGAGAGUCCCGUAGGUGAAGCUGUCGGCCGGGCGUGAGCGUGUUCCCGAGUAGCGCGGAGCUCGUGGAAUUCCGUGUGAAUCUGGCAGGACCACCUGCUAAGCCUAAAUACGUCCUGAUGACCGAUAGUGCACUAGUACCGUGAGGGAAAGGUGAAAAGUGCCCCGGUGAGGGGUCGUGAAAUAGUACCUGAAACCGUGUGCUGUCAAGCCGUCAGAGCCUUUUGGGGUGAUGGCGUGCCUUUUGAAGAAUGAGCCUGCGAGUCAUGGUGUGUGGCGAGGUUAACCCGGGUGGGGUAGCCGUAGCGAAAGCGAGUCUGAAUAGGGCGUUGAGUCGCAUGCUGUGGACCCGAAGCGGGGUGAUCUACCCAUGUCCAGGGUGAAGCGGAGGUAAGACUUCGUGGAGGCCCGAACCCACCAGGGUUGAAAACCUGGGGGAUGAGGUGUGGGUAGGGGUGAAAGGCCAAUCAAACUCCGUGAUAGCUGGUUCUCCCCGAAAUGCAUUUAGGUGCAGCGUUGCGUGUUGCUUGCCGGAGGUAGAGCUACUGGUUGGCUGAUGGGCCCGACAAGGUUACUGAGGUCAGCUAAACUCCGAAUGCCGGUGAAGUUAAGCGUGGCAGUGAGACUGCGGGGGAUAAGCUUCGUAGUCGAGAGGGAAACAGCCCAGAUCAUCAGCUAAGGCCCCUAAGCGUGUGCUAAGUGGGAAAGGUUGUGGAGUUGCUGAGACAACCAGGAGGUUGGCUUAGAAGCAGCCAUCCUUUAAAGAGUGCGUAAUAGCUCACUGGUCAAGUGAUUCUGCGCCGAUAAUGUAACGGGGCUUAAGUGCACCGCCGAAGCUGUGGAGCCUGCCGUUUGGUGGGUUGGUAGGGGAGCGUCCGGCAUCCUGUGAAGCUGCGGAGUGAUCCUGUGGUGGAGGGUGUUGGAGUGAGAAUGCAGGCAUGAGUAGCGAUACCAGUGUGAGAAACACUGGCGCCGAUUGACUAAGGGUUCCUGGGGCAGGUUAAUCCGCCCAGGGUGAGUCGGGGCCUAAGGCGAGGCCGACAGGCGUAGUCGAUGGAUAACGGGUUGAUAUUCCCGUACCCGUUCACGUGCGCCCAUACCGAACCUUUUGAUGCUAACCACCACUGAAGCCGGUUGGUGCCUUCGGGUGCUUUCUGGUGGAGGCGUGGGACCCGAUUUGGUAGUAGGUAAGCGAUGGGGUGACGCAGGAGGGUAGCUCUACCGGGCGGUGGUUGUCCCGGGAUAAGCGUGUAGGCCGAGGGGUAGGUAAAUCCGUCCCUU